ACGAACGCUGGCGGCGUGCCUAAUACAUGCAAGUUGAGCGCUGAAGGUUGGUACUUGUACCCACUGGAUGAGCAGCGAACGGGUGAGUAACGCGUGGGGAAUCUGCCUUUGAGCGGGGGACAACAUUUGGAAACGAAUGCUAAUACCGCAUAAAAACUUUAAACACAAGUUUUAAGUUUGAAAGAUGCAAUUGCAUCACUCAAAGAUGAUCCCGCGUUGUAUUAGCUAGUUGGUGAGGUAAAGGCUCACCAAGGCGAUGAUACAUAGCCGACCUGAGAGGGUGAUCGGCCACAUUGGGACUGAGACACGGCCCAAACUCCUACGGGAGGCAGCAGUAGGGAAUCUUCGGCAAUGGACGAAAGUCUGACCGAGCAACGCCGCGUGAGUGAAGAAGGUUUUCGGAUCGUAAAACUCGGUUGGUAGAGAAGAACGUUGGUGAGAGUGGAAAGCUCAUCAAGUGACGGUAACUACCCAGAAAGGGACGGCUAACUACGUG
RNAcentral lists this ribosomal RNA (496 nucleotides) under uncultured bacterium. RNAcentral's name for it is "partial 16S ribosomal RNA". It matches the Rfam family "Bacterial small subunit ribosomal RNA", at positions 29 to 507 of the family's 1533-position model. The record is from RNAcentral.